This 243-nucleotide unclassified non-coding RNA is filed under the name Hevea brasiliensis (rubber tree). Lineage: Eukaryota; Viridiplantae; Streptophyta; Magnoliopsida; Malpighiales; Euphorbiaceae. The record is from RNAcentral.
ACUGAAGAACUUUGAAGGACUGGAUCUUGGAAAGAUAGAUAAGACUGAUGACUCUGGGCUUGCUUCAUAUGUUGCCGGGCAAGUUGACCAGUCUCUUAGCUGGAAGGAUGUGAAAUGGCUUCAGACAAUAACACACUUGCCAAUCCUACUGAAGGGUGUAUUAACUGCAGAAGAUGCAAGACUAGCUGUAGAAUCUGGAGCAGCUGGAAUUAUUGUGUCGAACCAUGGGGCUCGACAACUUGA